This 859-nucleotide ribosomal RNA is filed under the name uncultured Inocybe. RNAcentral's name for it is "eukaryotic LSU rRNA". The record is from RNAcentral. Lineage: Eukaryota; Fungi; Basidiomycota; Agaricomycetes; Agaricales; Cortinariaceae.
UAAAAGUCGUAACAAGGUUUCCGUAGGUGAACCUGCGGAAGGAUCAUUAUUGAAUAAACUUGCAGGCUGUUUGCUGGUCUCUCCUCUUUGAGACAUGUGCACGCUUGUUAUCUUUAUUUCUCCAACUGUGCACACAUUGUAGACCUGGUAUUUUGGAUUGUUYGAGUAAAAUCGAAUAGAUUGAGGAUUGCUGAGCUUUCUCAAAGACAGCUUUGCCUUGCAUUUCCAGGUCUAUGUUAUUUCAUAAACCUUUGAAUAUGUUACAGAAUGUUGAAUUGGGUCUUUGCACCUAUAAAGUUAAAUAUACAACUUUCAGCAACGGAUCUCUUGGCUCUCGCAUCGAUGAAGAACGCAGCGAARUGCGAUAAGUAAUGUGAAUUGCAGAAUUCAGUGAAUCAUCGAAUCUUUGAACGCAUCUUGCGCUCCUUGGUAUUCCGAGGAGCAUGCCUGUUUGAGUGUCAUUAAGUUCUCAACUGCACUAGUUCUUUCUGGUGCAGCUUGGAUGUGGGGGUGUUUUUUUGCAGGCUUUUCAAAGUCGGCUCCCCUGAAAUGCAUUAGUGGUCUCCUAGCAGAGAAACUGCUACAGGUGUGAUAAUUAUCUAUGCCUUUAGNUACUCUGCAAGAAUGGAUUGCACUGCUUCUUAACAAGUGAAUCCCUGUUAUGGGGAGUGCACAUUUGACAAAUUUGACCUCAAAUCAGGUAGGACUACCCGCUGAACUUAAGCAUAUCAAUAAGCGGAGGAAAAGAAACUAACAAGGAUUCCCCUAGUAACUGCGAGUGAAGCGGGAAAAGCUCAAAUUUGAAAUCUGGCAGUUUUUGACUGUCCGAGUUGUAAUCUAGAGAAGUGUUACCUGUGCU